Molecule: RNA transcript, 3250 nt
Organism: Cinclus cinclus
Lineage: Eukaryota; Metazoa; Chordata; Aves; Passeriformes; Cinclidae
Gene: MEAF6
Gene name: MYST/Esa1 associated factor 6
Exons: 9
Source: RefSeq, a predicted model, not a curated record
CCCAGCCCGGGGACUCGCCCCUCAGCCCGGGGACUCGCCCCUCAGCCCGGGGACUCGCCCCCCAGCCCGGGGACUCGCCACCGCCCCCAGCGGCCGCUACCGGUACCGCCCCGCCCCGCCCCGCCCCGCGCAGGCCGCGCCGCCAUGGCCGCGCUGCACGCCAAGGCCGGCGGGCCCCCGCAGAUCCCGGACACCCGCCGGGAGCUCGCCGAGCUGGUGAAACGCAAACAGGAGCUGGCGGAGACGCUGGCAAACCUGGAGCGGCAGAUUUACGCCUUCGAGGGAAGCUACCUGGAGGACACGCAGAUGUACGGGAACAUCAUUCGCGGCUGGGAUCGCUAUCUCACCAACCAGAAGAACUCCAACAGCAAAAACGACCGGAGGAACCGCAAGUUCAAGGAGGCCGAGAGGCUCUUCAGCAAGUCCUCGGUCACCUCAGCAGCGGCUGUCAGUGCGUUAGCUGGAGUCCAGGACCAGCUCAUUGAGAAGCGGGAACCGGGCAGUGGCACAGAGAGUGACACUUCUCCAGACUUCCACAACCAGGAGAAUGAACCCAACCAGGAGGAUGCUGAAGAGCUGGAUGGCUCCAUGCAGGGUGUGAAGCCCCAGAAAGCUGCUUCCUCCACUUCCUCUGGGAGCCACCACAGCAGCCACAAAAAGCGAAAGAACAAAAACAGACACAGAUAUUUGGAAGAAGUUCAGGAAUAACACAAGAAACUACAUCCGUGAACAAGUCCAGAGAAACUACCUGUAAAACUGAAGUACAGCUUAAGAAAACUGCCAUUUCAAACAAAUUAUAAAAUAUUCUCCCUGGACAAACCAUGGCCAACAAUAUGGUGGGGUGCAGGGCAGGUGCUGGAACUGACAUAACUCCCUUUGCUCUCGUCCAUGACCCGGACUUUAGAGACAGGAGCUGGGGGGAAGCUGCCCCCCAACAGGUUGUGUGGCUCUGGGUUCCUUCAUAUCCCCCCUCUUUGGCUUUGGCUGCUGCUGCCAGGGUGGGCUCUUGGACAGAGGAGCCCUGCCCUGCUCACCUGUGGCAGCUUCUGUUCCCAGGGUCAGUCACUCCGAGGGGCUCGGUGAGGCAGGAACCAAUGUUUGUAAUGCUUAGCAGGGCCAGAUAGAUAACUAAAAAAGAUAAUUAAAUUUGUCUGUAAUAAAAGCUCUUUUAAAAUUGUGAUUGCUGUUACUGACUAUCCCCUAAAUUUUGGCAGACAAGACCAGACAAUUCUUGAGUAUAUUUAGGCUAAAAUACCCCAGCACCAACCCAGUCCCUGAGUGUGCAGCGAGGGCGUUCCAGGCCCCACAACCCCACAGGUGCUUCAGCCAGACCUGCAGGUUUGUCCCCUGAGGGGUCUGGCAUGAAAAAGAGAAAAAUAAAAAGAAAUGUUGGCUUUUCUCUUUAUUCAGAAGCUCUUCCAUUUGCCAGCACGACUCUGGGUUUCACUCCCCAGUUCCUGGCGGACCGGGAGGUGCUGGGAAAGGGCCUUGCAGGAGCAUGGCCUCAUUGGGGUGCCUGUGUGGGGAGCUGGGUCAGCAUGGGGACCUUUGGCUGCAGGUGCACACAGAGCCUCAGGUGUGGGUACAGAGCUGAGCUGUCCCUCUGCUCCCUGCCACACUACAACAAGGCCAGCGUGGGUAUUUUCUGUGUGCUCAGCUGUUGUCACGGCGAACAAGUGUUUGAGGGAACCCAGUGCUGUUUCCUCUUAGCAAUGCAGUCCUGGAAUGGGAUUCCAUGAUCAAUCCUUCCCAACUGGUGUCAGCUGGGGGCAGAGCUGUGUCUGGAGGCCGUGCUCUGGUGCUUCUAUGAGGGGGUGGGACAGUCACCAAAGUGGUCAGCUCUGGCCAAGCAUCCCUGGGCCAGCCCUGCUGGGGGUGUGGGGGGAACAGCCCAAUGCAGGGUUGGGCACCAGGUUCUGUGUCACCUAUGCCUGAACCAGCUUUGCCUUGCCCUGGCAGCUCAACCCCCCUCCCCAGCUCCCUAAACCCACCCUGCUUCCUGACCCCUCACUUUGGUUUUCCAAGCCCUUGGGUUCCUGUCCUGCUCCUGAGCGAGCUGGGCCGUCUCCGGGUCUGGCAGCUGCCCCUCUUUCAGCUCCUCAACUCCCCUGCAUAAACCAAACCCACCUCUCUGCUAACACCUCUUGUUCCCAGAAGUCCAGUGGGGAGGGGGACUCUGCAUUGCCAACCUAGAGUGCUUUUUGUGUCCAGUCCUGGUUAAAAUAUCUGAAAGGCUUGAUAGUGUUUGAACACUGGCUUUAUUAUUUAAUUAAUUUUACUUUUUUAGCAAUCUCUCUAGGGUGGCUAAUCAAUUAAUUGAUUUAAUUCAUUAGUAUAUUAAUUUCUAUUGCUUUCUUCCUUUCAAAUGCUGCCCCUCAGCCCGUCUGGCAUGUUUGAUUAUGACUUUGAGUAUGUAUAUUAGGUUAGGCUGGGAAGUUUUUUUUAAAAACAGAAAAGCGUGAUGGAGGAUUGAUCUCAAGUUAAACAAAAAGCCAAGAGCCGACUACUAGAGCCAUCAGUGCUGAUGCUCCUGGGAUUUAGGUCUGUGACUCCCCACUGAGAAGCCCUGAAGCAGGAUGGCAGCUGCAGCAGGAGUGACUCACUCUAAGGGACUUGGAUGGGGGGAGGAAAUCCUGGACCAUGUACUUUGCAUCAUUUUUAAAUCACCUGAGUUGCAGGAAGACAAAGGUGGUGUAGUAGUUGUAGUAGUUCUGAAUUCCUGACUGUUCUGUGCUUCCACCUUGGUCGGGAACUUUCUGAAACAACUGAUACUGCUGCCCCCUUGUCACCUGCAAACCCACAGAGAGGCAUUUCCUUUUCCACUGGAACUGGGGUAGGAUUCAGUGUGUCCCAUCCAUGUUGUGAGACUUAGAUUAUUUUUGUUGCUGAUAUUUAGCUUUGCCGGUUUGGUUUUUUUGUUUUGUUUUUGUUGGUUUUGUUGUGCUUUUUUUAAAGCUGAAGUGUAUAGUUACAAGUUGACUUUGGGUUUCUUUAUUUAGUCCAUGCAGUGGAAGGUUCUUCAUUUUGUGGAACAGCUCUUUUGUUUCUUACUCAAGCAGAGAAGGUAGUUUAACCCUUUUCUCUUACUUUCACGUUAAAUACCAUCUCCCAAUAUUCCUCAGUGCAUUAGGUGCAGGAAGGGCCAGAGCUCAGAGCCAGCUGUUCGCUGUCUCUGACUUUGGGUGGGUUCUCUUUUUAAUACAAACUUCUGUCAUUUGUACAUAAAAAAUAAAAGUUCCAUGUUCGUCUC